Non-coding RNA from Oryza glaberrima (African rice), 210 nucleotides. The record is from Rfam. NCBI's taxonomy places the organism in Eukaryota, Viridiplantae, Streptophyta, Magnoliopsida, Poales, Poaceae.
AAUAAGUGCAGUUUUACAUUAUUCAUUUUCAACAAUUGACCGUUCAUCUAAUUUAAAUUUUUUUAUGAUUAGUAUUUUUAUUGUUAUUAUUAUGGAUGAUAAAACAUGAAUAGUACUUUGUGUGACUAUUUUUUUUAGUUUUCUCUUAAAAAUUUUUAAAUAUGACAGACAGUCAAACGUUGGACGCGGAUAUCCACGGCUGCACUUAUU